ACCGCCGAGUUGUGGAGAGGAAUUAGUGCAGCAGCCAAGAGAGGGCGAUGCUAUCCUCGGCUCUCACGGCAUUUUUUUCCUUUGUUUCUGGGAUUCCUAGUGAAUGACAUUUUUCCAUUGAUGGUGAUUUUGGUGAUGGGAUCAGUGCAUUAGUUGAUUGGUUUUGGUGAAUUUGGUUUCAUGGUGAAUCUUUUAAUUUUAGUCUUGUGAAAUUUUGUGGGAUAUUUAUUGUGAUUCCUAGUUUUCUAAUUAACUUUUAUAACUUAAUUGAGAAAUUUCUAGAAGUAAAACAAUAAAUUUCUCAGUUUCUGGGUGACGGAGGCGCUGGAUCGGCGAGUGCCGGCACUGGAUCUGUGUGCCCCGCCCGGAAAACGGCACCUCGUGCCCCGUCACGCUCAUCCUGGGUGACGACAUCGGACCCCUCGUCCCCAGAGCCGUGCAGCAGGUCAUGGAGCUCGCCCCUCUAUUUCAAGACCUGGUCACGGGAGACGCGCAACGGAGCUUGACCCUCUACUCCAUCCGCCCCUGUUCUGCCUCAAGGGUGAGAAGGAACAACGAGAUCCGAAUGGUGCAAGUGCGCCAUAUGCGCCGCGAGGUCGGGCAGCUGCUCGACGGCAACCAAAACAAAGACGGCAUGAAUCAGGGGAAAGCUGAAACUGAGUUCAGUCUGGUAGCACGUGUAGUCUGAUGGAUAAAGGUAUGUGCCUUGUUGCUUUUUUAUUGAAUACUCAAUUUUACGAUCAGCGUUUCAAUUAUGUGUCCCUGUGACCUUUUUGGAUUAAGCAUUAGCUUGUUUUUUAAUGGACUAAUUGAAGACAUGAAAGUAUCAAACUGUAUUGGGGAGUACCAUUAUAUGAUUCAUCCAUAUACAGUUUAGACAUCCAUUAGCAUGGCCUGAAUAAACCUCUCGUCUUUGAUCUGUGCAUGGGAAUUUGAUCUGUGCACGGGAAUUUUUUUUAUUUACUCAUGUCUAGAUUUUCCAAGAUUUAUUGUUAAAACUUGUUGACCCUUGUGCAUAAUUAUUCAUGUUAUUGGGGACUAUGAACCUUCACCAACUUCCCCGAUUUUGAUAAUGUGCAUUAAACUGAAAGUAACUCAUGACGGCUCCUACAACACCGGAGUAGCGGGAGGACGCCGCUUGCGCAUGGGAGCACUGGGACGCCGUCAACUUCAACUUCUUAUCGGAGCAGCACGAUGACCGCCACCAGUACUCUAGUGUAGUUUCACUCUAGUUCUUCUCUGAAUAUGUUCCAUGUCUCUCAAUAUUUUUCCAGUUUCUCAAAUCAAAUGAAGACCAGAGGGCGCAGGCGGGCAACUGGUUGAGCGCAGUAGAGCUCGAACCCCUGGCGCUGGAGAGGGUGAUUCGCUGUCCAUGUUGUGACAUCCUGCAUGGUCACUCUGUCUAUCAAAUAAGCACUAGACUAUACCACAGUAUUGCAGCAACAAAUAAAGUACUGCUUGCUUAUUAAAUUCCUGCGUCGGCUAUGAGUUACUGGGAAAUGGAGGCGCUGGAUCUGCCGUGCACGGCUUGCCUUAGGUUGAUCCCAAUGCUGCGGGAAGACUAUCGCCUGCCCCGCCACGUCUCGAAAAGAAACUCAGAAAGGUGCUUCAGGGAGAUCAGGGCUAGGUGUUGCUGGGGGAUGAAAGUGGAAUAGUUGGGUGGAGGAGCAGCAGGAGGCCGAAGGUGGAGUAGAUGCAGAGAUCGGGAGCAUCCGGUCGAGCAGUUGAACAUCGAGGCAGAGCCAGCUCUUCGCUGAGCACCUGAUGACCUGAUGGUCGAUGGGCGAAGGGGAAGCAGAUCCCACAUGAUCGUGGCUGGGCGGAGGAGAAGCAGCUACCAGGUGCUCCUGGGCGAGGGAUCAUGGUGGAGGCAGAUCACAGGAGCACCUGGGCGAUGAGAUCGUGGUCGAGGUGCUCCUGGGUGAAGAGAUCGUGCUCGAGGACCUGGGCUAAGGCGAGGCAAGGAAGAAGGAUCCGUGAGGAGGAAGCGAUCGCGAGGGGAAUCGCGAUGUGCGAUCUGAAACAAAUCAAGGGUAGGAAGGACUUUUUAGUGUUUUUUCACCUGGUCGGAACACUCCCCCAACAUCUUACUACAUUUUAGAUUGGAGGGAGUACAUAACAAAACAUACAACAGACUACAGCAGUGUGCAUGCGCGUGAGAUGAUAAGGACUGAAAAUAUGAGGAGUCCCUGUUGCUCCCGUGACUACCAUGAUUGGUGUCUAGAUAUUUUCUACAAUGUGACCACAUAUCGAUGUUCUGUUCAUCUUCUCCUACCUCUCCUUCUAUGGUGUAUAUAAACAAGAAAAUGCUAUGGUGAUAAAAUAUAGGCUCAUUUCUAUAA
Lolium perenne is the source of this 2342-nucleotide long non-coding RNA. RefSeq lists it as uncharacterized. Lineage: Eukaryota; Viridiplantae; Streptophyta; Magnoliopsida; Poales; Poaceae. The record is from RefSeq and is a predicted model, not a curated record.